Molecule: ribosomal RNA, 190 nt
Filed under: Staphylococcus aureus
Lineage: Bacteria; Bacillati; Bacillota; Bacilli; Caryophanales; Staphylococcaceae
Description: partial 16S ribosomal RNA
Rfam family: Bacterial small subunit ribosomal RNA
Source: RNAcentral
UUUAUGGAGAGUUUGAUCCUGGCUCAGGAUGAACGCUGGCGGCGUGCCUAAUACAUGCAAGUCGAGCGAACGGACGAGAAGCUUGCUUCUCUGAUGUUAGCGGCGGACGGGUGAGUAACACGUGGAUAACCUACCUAUAAGACUGGGAUAACUUCGGGAAAUCGCAGCUAAUACCGGAUAAUAUUUUGAA